AAUAUUGCACAAUGGGCGCAAGCCUGAUGCAGCAACGCCGCGUGCGCGACGAAGGCCUUCGGGUCGUAAAGCGCUUUUCGGGGAGAUGAGUACGGACAGUAUCCCCGGAAGAAGGAUCGGCUAACUACGUGCCAGCAGCCGCGGUAAUACGUAGGGUGCAAGCGUUAAUCGGAAUUACUGGGCGUAAAGCGUGUGUAGGCGGUUCGGAAAGAAAGAUGUGAAAUCCCAGGGCUCAACCUUGGAACUGCAUUCUUAACUACCGGACUAGAGUAUGUCAGAGGGGGGUAGAAUUCCGCGUGUAGCAAUGAAAUGCGUAGAUAUGCGGAGGAAUACCGAUGGCGAAGGCAGCCCCCUGGGAUAAUACUGACGCUCAUGCACGAAAGCGUGGGUAGCAAACAGG
Molecule: ribosomal RNA, 400 nt
Filed under: uncultured bacterium
Lineage: Bacteria
Description: partial 16S ribosomal RNA
Rfam family: Bacterial small subunit ribosomal RNA
Source: RNAcentral